AGGAGCUUACUUUUCUUGACUUAGUGGCGAACAGGUGAGUAACGCGUGAGUAACCUGCCCUGGAUGGGGGACAACAGUUGGAAACGACUGCUAAUACCGCAUGACACAUUGGGGUCGCAUGGCCUUGAUGUCAAAGAUUUAUCGCUGAAAGAUGGCCUCGCGUCUGAUUAGCUAGUUGGUGAGGUAACGGCCCACCAAGGCGACGAUCAGUAGCCGGACUGAGAGGUUGAACGGCCACAUUGGAACUGAGAUACGGUCCAGACUCC
RNAcentral lists this ribosomal RNA (266 nucleotides) under uncultured Oscillospiraceae bacterium. Its description in RNAcentral is "partial 16S ribosomal RNA". It matches the Rfam family "Bacterial small subunit ribosomal RNA", at positions 74 to 339 of the family's 1533-position model. Lineage: Bacteria; Bacillati; Bacillota; Clostridia; Eubacteriales; Oscillospiraceae. The record is from RNAcentral.